RNAcentral lists this transfer RNA (612 nucleotides) under uncultured Prochlorococcus sp. RNAcentral's name for it is "partial contains 16S ribosomal RNA, 16S-23S ribosomal RNA intergenic spacer, and 23S ribosomal RNA". The stretch from base 227 to 299 matches the Rfam family "tRNA". The record is from RNAcentral. Lineage: Bacteria; Bacillati; Cyanobacteriota; Cyanophyceae; Synechococcales; Prochlorococcaceae.
UGGAUCACCUCCUAACAGGGAGACAACAAAAUGUUAAAUAUUAAUUUUGUCACCUUAGGUCGAUCGGUAUCUCACAUCCUUAUUAUCUUUAAGGAUUUUAUUUCCUAAGUUUUUCUAGGUCACACCCAAUUACUUUUCCUGGGCCAUUAGCUCAGGUGGUUAGAGCGCACCCCUGAUAAGGGUGAGGUCCCUGGUUCAAGUCCAGGAUGGCCCAUAUCUCUAUGUUGGGGGUAUAGCUCAGUUGGUAGAGCGCCUGCUUUGCAAGCAGGAUGUCAGCGGUUCGAGUCCGCUUACCUCCACUGAUUACCACCUCUUCCAUAUUUAGAAGGGAAAACUUCUUGAGUUGUGAUCAAAUUCUGAACGAAUCUAGCUUCCUAAUAAAACUUAUUAAGAUGCUGGACUCAUUGAAUUAAUUUCAUUGUUUUCAGAGAACCUUGACAACUGCAUAGAUUAUUUUUUUAAAGACAAUAAGCAUCUUUAUUGAUGCAGAUUUAUUAUUUGUGCGAAUGCAUUAAAUAACAAUUCUAUUAAGCUGAUGCUUCAUUUUUGAAGUUAUUGGUCAAGCUACAAAGGGCUCACGGAGGAUACCUAGGCACACAGAGGCGAUGAAGG